RNAcentral lists this ribosomal RNA (500 nucleotides) under uncultured Glomeromycotina. Its description in RNAcentral is "partial small subunit ribosomal RNA". It matches the Rfam family "Eukaryotic small subunit ribosomal RNA", at positions 591 to 1092 of the family's 1831-position model. Lineage: Eukaryota; Fungi; Glomeromycota. The record is from RNAcentral.
CCAAUAGCGUAUAUUAAAGUUGUUGCCGUUAAAAAGCUCGUAGUUGAAUUUCGGGAUCAGUAGGUUGGUCAUGCCUCUGGUAUGUACUGGUCUCACUGGUUCCUCCUUCCUGAUGAACCGUAAUGCCAUUAAUUUGGUGUUGCGGGGAAACUGGACUGUUACUUUGAAAAAAUUAGAGUGUUUAAAGCAGGCUAACGCUUGAAUACAUUAGCAUGGAAUAAUGAAAUAGGACGAUCGAUCCUAUUUUGUUGGUUUCUAGGAUUGACGUAAUGAUUAAUAGGGAUAGUUGGGGGCAUUAUUAUUCAAUUGUCAGAGGUGAAAUUCUUGGAUUUAUUGAAGACUAACUACUGCGAAAGCAUUUGCCAAGGAUGUUUUCAUUAAUCAAGAACGAAAGUUAGGGGAUCGAAGACGAUCAGAUACCGUCGUAGUCUUAACCAUAAACUAUGCCGACUAGGGAUCGGAUGAUGUUAAUUUUAUAAUGACUCAUUCGGCGCCUUACG